AGAGGAACCGCAGUAAGAGAGGUGCAGAAAGGAGAUCCAAGCACAGGACCAGCGACAGUGAGACUCCUCGUGGGGCAACAAGCCCAGAAGCCAAGCCAAGCGCCAGGGGACCCGGGAAAGGGCCUGGGGUGGGACAGCCAGCGACGCUGGAGGCCUCGCUGUUCCUGCAGGGUCUGCCCUUGGCUGCUCCGUCAUCUCCCCGUUUCAACUACCCCCUACCUAAGAUGCAAGGAGUCAGCUGAGACAGCCGGGGGCGGGCAGAAUGGAAGGGCUGCAACAGCCCCGAGGGGCGGGCCACUGCCCAGGGAGGCAGCCCCAGCUGCUCCAGCGUAGCCGCUGCCCGUAGAGGCCUUGGGAUUAGAGUUCCCGGAUGUCUGGUUUUUCAGCAGACAUUGAAAUUCUUGGUUUCAUAACAAGUCUCUCAAGUUUGAACCGUUGGCAACUUAUUUUAAAAACUGCACAGAGGACUUUUAGGGGAGUGAAGCUACUCCGUGUGAAGCUUCAGCGGGGGUCACACACUGGAAAACUUCUCCAGACCCACAGAGCGGCAACGCCAAGAGUGCGCGACGUGAGCUUGGACUUCCGGGCGAUCACGAACAUCACGGAGCUGGAAUCAUACAGUAUGCAGCCUUUUCAGAUUGGCUUCUUUCAUUUACUAACAUGCAUUUAAGUUUCGUCCAUGUCUUUUCACGGCGUGAGAGCUCAUUUCUCGAGUGCUGCGUAAUAUCCCAUUCCUUGGAUGGACCCAGUUUAUGGGCCCAUCCUUUCACUGAGGGAUGUCCCGGUUGCUUCCCAGUUUCGGCGAUUAUGAAUGAAUCUGCUGUAAACGCCUGUGUGCAGCUUUCUGGGUCGACAUGGUUUUCAGCUCCUUUGAGUAAAUGACAAGGAGCAUGACUGCUGGAUCACGUGGAGAGAGUGUGUUUAGUUGUGUAAGAAUCGCCCACAGUGGCCGCACCAUUGCGGCCCCACCAGCCGCACCCAGUGGCCGCACCAUCUUGCGGCCCCACCAGCCGCCCCCAGUGGCCGCACCAUCUUGCGGCCCCACCAGCCGCCCCCAGUGGCCGCACCAUCUUGCGGCCCCACCAGCCGCCCCCAGUGGCCGCACCAUCUUGCGGCCCCACCAGCCGCCCCCAGUGGCCGCACCAUCUUGCGGCCCCACCAGCCGCCCCCAGUGGCCGCACCAUCUUGCGGCCCCACCAGCCGCCCCCAGUGGCCGCACCAUCUUGCGGCCCCACCAGCAAGGAGGAGGGCUCCUGUUGCUCCACGUCCUCGCCAGCAUCUGGUGUCGUCCGUGUCUGAACUUCGGCCAUUCCGACAGGUGUACAGAAAAGCGAUUCAGGUUCUUUGCAGACGAUAUGCCAUUAUAGGUUACUACAAGGUUAAAAAUACGGCACGCUGCUCAAGUUUGCACACCAUCCCUGGGCAGGGCCAUCACCGUUGCUUCAAUCUGCAGUUCCCUGGUGCCAUGCGAUGCUGGCCAUCUCCUCACGUGCUGCUAUAUAUGCUGUCUUCAUCUAAUAUUUUCUAAGUACAGUAAUUUUAUCUCCUCUUCCUGUUGUAAAUUUAUCAAACCAAAAAGUCAAAGUGGUAACCUUCGGUGCCCCUAGAAAGAAGGCCAACUGGGAAAACGCCGCUUUCUUACAUCGUGUCAACAUAAAAGAUGUAGCUACAGUCUGUGUAGCAAGACAGUCUUCUGAAAAAAUAGCUCAGACACCACAUCUCCCAACAUCCUCCACAAAGCAAGAAGCCCAGAAAAUUUCAGAGACUUGCUGAUGGUCACAGAGCCAGGAUGCCGACCUUUUCCCCCAAUCCAACAGGCUCUAAUAAGAAGGUUUUCAAGGACAGGAGAAAAUAGAUCACAAAACAGAAAUAUGCUGGAAUAAGGGAAAUCUAACUGUUCUGUUGAGCAUUUUCAUACAGUGGGAUGUAUUAGGAUGAAGGAAAAAGGUAAUCACUACAAAAUUAAAUACUGAUGCCAGAAACAAAAGAAGCCCUCAGGUGUGGUGCUGAAAUAGCCCAGAGACAGGCAGUUUACACACAGGUGGUUUCCUCAUCUCUGGAGAACACCACCUCCUGGCUAGCCAGGAGGGAGGUUACUUUAGUCCCCUCUUGCUCAAGACCCUGCAGUGGCACUGGUACAGUACUGAUGGGAACGUAAAUGGUGCGGUCAGUGGAAGAGUGGCUCCUCGAAAAGUUAAACGUAGAACUGCUGUCUGACCCAGGAAUUCCACUCCUAGGUACAGACCCCAAAGAACUGCAAACAGAGACUCGAACAGGUACCUGCAUGCCAGUGUUCAUGGACGCUUUACUCACAGUAGCCAAAAGGUGGAAACAACCCAAGUGAGACAGAUGAUGGAUAAACAAAAUGUGACCUAUACAUUCACUGGAUAUUACUCAGCCAUAAAAAGAAGUGAAAACAGAAAACAACAAGUGCUUACUACACAUAAAGUGUGUGUUCCCUGUCCCUGUGUGUAGAGCACAGGGAACUAUGUUCAGUGUCUUGUUAGUAACCUGUAAUGAAAAGAAUGUGAAAUAUGUAUGUAUGUAUAUGUACGACUGAAGCAUUACGCUGUACACCAGAGGUUGACAAAACAUUGUAAACUGCCUGUACUUAAAUAAAAAAAAAAAGAAAAGAAAAGCAAAGAAAGAAAAUCACGUGUUGCCGAGAUGUAGAGGAGUCGACACCUCCUGCGCGGCUGGCGGGAGUGCGGAAUGCCGGGGUCACUGCGGAAGACAGGCUGGUGGCUCCUCAAUAAAGGACACGUCGAAUCACCGCGUGACCCAGCAAUCCCACCUCUAGGCAGCUCCCCCAAAGACGGGAAAGCAGGGAGUUGAACAGCAGUUUGCACGCCAGUGUUCACAGCAGCAUUCAUUACUCACAAUAGACAAAAGCUGGACACAACCCGAAUGUCCAGCCACGGAUGAAGGGAUAAAUCGAACGAAUGGAAAAACAAUGGGUAAACAAAUACUCUGCUUUAAAAAUGAAUGAAAUUCUGAUACUUGCUGCAACAUGGAUGAAGCUCGAAGGACAUUCUCUCAGUGACAUAAGCUGUCACAGGACAAGCACUGUAGGAAUCUACUCACCGAGGUCCCUGGAGGAGUCAGCUUUACAGAGACAGGCAGCAUAAUGGGGGUUUCCAGGGUCUGGGGGAGAGGGAGGAGGAAGUUAGUGUUUGAUGGGGACAGCGCUGCAGCUUGGGAGUGCUGAUGAAAAUUUUAUCUGUCGAUCUAAGAAAGAAAUGGAAAAUUUUUUUGAGCCAAAUUUGAGGAUUAUAAUCCGGGAAGAGCAUCUCAGAAAGCUCUGAGGGCUGUCCCACUGGUUAGAAAUCAAGGCACAGGUUUACAAGUUUUUUGAGACAGAGGGCUGUGCACCAAAUGAUGUGUUAUUGACAGUUUACAGAGUCCAGAUCUGAGCCUCGUCCUGGUGGGUCCUGUGACCCUUUAUGAGCCCAAGGCGGAACGUUACCUGUAAGGAGCUGUCCUGUUGAUGCGGGGAGAACGCCGCUCUUCAUGGCGGAGCAGGUGUUCCUGCCGGUGGGGAGGCUUGGUCGACGCCUAGUGCAGAUACUCAGGGCACAGCGAGGGGAGAGAAGGUCAGAGGGCAGGGAAGAACUUAUGUUUAAAUUUUUCUUGUCUUGCCAGAAAAUAGGAAUUUCAUUUCACAGGAAGAUGAAAAAAUUCCAGUGAUGGAAGGUGGUGAUGGAUACACAACAACAUGAAUGUACUUCAUACCACAGAACUGUACACUUAAAAAUCGUUCACUGUAAAUUUUUCAUUUUGGGGGUUUUUUUGGGGGGGAGGUAAUUAGGUUUAUUUAUUUAUUUAUUUAUUAUUAUUUUUUUUAAUGGAGAUACUGGGACUGAACUCAGGACCUCAUGCAUGCUAAGCACACACUCUAUCACUGAGCUACACCCUCCCCCCUAAAUUUUAUGUUCCAUAUAUUUUACCAAAACCAAAGCAAGAACAGGAUAUAUUCAGCACCAAAAAAAAAGGAAUGAAGUUCUGAUCCAUUCCAUAACACGGACAAAUGUUGAAAUGAGCUGGACACAGAAAGGACAAACAGUAUAUGGCCCCACUUACACAAAAUACCUACAAUAGGCCGAUUCCUAGAGGCACAAAAUGGACUAGAGGUUACUGAGAGCUGGGAACAAGGGGAAUGAGGUGCUACUGCUUAACAGGGCCAGAGUUUCUGUUUGGGGCUAUGGGAGAGUUUGGAAAUAGACGGUGGUGAUGGCUGCACAACACUGCAGUUAA
Molecule: long non-coding RNA, 4254 nt
Organism: Camelus dromedarius (Arabian camel)
Lineage: Eukaryota; Metazoa; Chordata; Mammalia; Artiodactyla; Camelidae
Exons: 5
Source: RefSeq, a predicted model, not a curated record